AUUUGUCUCUGUUUUUGAACACUCCAGCAGUUCUCCAUUUCUUCCAGUGAGAGAAGUUAACGAGUUGGCAUUUCCAUGAGACAUCGAGAUGGUGGGGGAAAAUCCUUUGAAUCAACAUGCUAUGAAGGGUAAUCCCAGACAGUCUUGCCGUCAGGUAGGAGUUCUAUGGCACAAUCGUAAGGACGAUGAGGGGAAGGGUGGCAGCCUGCCUCUUACUGAAGGCCACCCGGAGAUCGAAGUAUUCGGGAGGGAGAGCGGAAAAGUCUUGGUCUUCAAGGGAUGCAGGAGGACACGGCGAGGCUCUUGCCAUCAGCCCAGAACAUCCUGAAGACAGAAAAUCUAAACGAUCAUCUGGGAAUCCUUUCUUCCUCAUAGUGCUUUUUGAAAGCUAUGAAAAAGACAAAUGACAUGACAUUGACUCCUGAGUGUUGAACUUUUGCCCACUCUAUAGCCACCCUGGUUAUAUUCUGACCCUGCUGGUCAUCUACGAACAUUGGAACAUCUUAAAUAACAAUAAGGGGCACAUGUACUCUUAAAUGUGCACUUAGCACAGCCCUCAGAGCACGGUUAUUUGAUUGGUCUUGUGCUUUUAGACUGGUAUCUGUAAAACACUUUGUGACAACUGCUGAUACAAAAAGGGUUUUUAAGAAAUACAUUUGAUUAAAAGACAUUCUGAAA
Molecule: long non-coding RNA, 678 nt
Organism: Salmo salar (Atlantic salmon)
Lineage: Eukaryota; Metazoa; Chordata; Actinopteri; Salmoniformes; Salmonidae
Source: RefSeq, a predicted model, not a curated record